GGGCUUGCGUCCUAUCAGGUAGUUGGUGAGGUAAAGGCCCACCAAGCCGAAGACGGGUAGCUGGUCUGAGAGGAUGGUCAGCCACACUGGGACUGAGACACGGCCCAGACUCCUACGGGAGGCAGCAGCAAGGGAUAUUGCGCAAUGGGCGAAAGCCUGACGCAGCAACGCCGCGUGGGUGAAGAAGGCCUUCGGGUUGUAAAGCCCUUUUCCGGGGGAAGUGACGGUACCCCGGGAGGAAGCCUCGGCUAACUACGUGCCAGCAGCCGCGGUAAGACGUAGGAGGCGAGCGUUAUCCGGAUUUACUGGGCGUAAAGAGCGCUAAGGCGGCGAGGGAAGUCAGCCCUGAAAUCUCCCGGCUCAACCGGGAGGGGAGGGUUGAUACUCCCCCGCUUGAGUAUGGGAGAGGGAGGUGGAACUCCCGGAGUAGAGGUGAAAUGCGUAGAU
This 447-nucleotide ribosomal RNA is filed under the name uncultured bacterium. RNAcentral's name for it is "bacterial SSU rRNA". It matches the Rfam family "Bacterial small subunit ribosomal RNA", at positions 227 to 695 of the family's 1533-position model. The record is from RNAcentral.